RNAcentral lists this ribosomal RNA (484 nucleotides) under uncultured bacterium. Its description in RNAcentral is "partial 16S ribosomal RNA". It matches the Rfam family "Bacterial small subunit ribosomal RNA", at positions 30 to 507 of the family's 1533-position model. The record is from RNAcentral.
AUUGAACGCUGGCGGCAGGCCUAACACAUGCAAGUCGAGCGGAUGAAGGGAGCUUGCUCCUGGAUUCAGCGGCGGACGGGUGAGUAAUGCCUAGGAAUCUGCCUGGUAGUGGGGGAUAACGUCCGGAAACGGGCGCUAAUACCGCAUACGUCCUGAGGGAGAAAGCGGGGGAUCUUCGGACCUCACGCUAUCAGAUGAGCCUAGGUCGGAUUAGCUAGUUGGUGGGGUAAAGGCCUACCAAGGCGACGAUCCGUAACUGGUCUGAGAGGAUGAUCAGUCACACUGGAACUGAGACACGGUCCAGACUCCUACGGGAGGCAGCAGUGGGGAAUAUUGGACAACGGGCGAAAGCCUGAUCCAGCCAUGCCGCGUGUGUGAAGAAGGUCUUCGGAUUGUAAAGCACUUUAAGUUGGGAGGAAGGGCAGUAAGUUAAUACCUUGCUGUUUUGACGUUACCAACAGAAUAAGCACCGGCUAACUUCGUG